This 352-nucleotide ribosomal RNA is filed under the name Dyella sp. RZ4MS16. RNAcentral's name for it is "bacterial SSU rRNA". It matches the Rfam family "Bacterial small subunit ribosomal RNA", at positions 111 to 464 of the family's 1533-position model. The record is from RNAcentral. Lineage: Bacteria; Pseudomonadati; Pseudomonadota; Gammaproteobacteria; Lysobacterales; Rhodanobacteraceae.
UAAUGCAUCGGGAUCUACCCAAACGUGGGGGAUAACGUAGGGAAACUUACGCUAAUACCGCAUACGUCUUACGAGAGAAAGCAGGGGACCUUCGGGCCUUGCGCGGUUGGACGAACCGAUGUGCGAUUAGCUAGUUGGUAGGGUAAUGGCCUACCAAGGCGACGAUCGCUAGCUGGUCUGAGAGGAUGAUCAGCCACACUGGAACUGAGACACGGUCCAGACUCCUACGGGAGGCAGCAGUGGGGAAUAUUGGACAAUGGGCGCAAGCCUGAUCCAGCAAUGCCGCGUGUGUGAAGAAGGCCUUCGGGUUGUAAAGCACUUUUAUCAGGAGCGAAAUACUACCGGCUAAUAC